RNAcentral lists this ribosomal RNA (1238 nucleotides) under metagenome. RNAcentral's name for it is "bacterial LSU rRNA". It matches the Rfam family "Bacterial large subunit ribosomal RNA", at positions 1564 to 2811 of the family's 2925-position model. The record is from RNAcentral.
UGAGUACGAGAUGCUACGGCAUCGAAGCAGUCUAUGUCAUACUUCCAAGAAAAGCUUGCACUGUCAUAAACAAAGAAUGCCUGUACCAUAACCGACACAGGUGGGUAGGUAGAGUAUACUAAGGGGCGCGAGAUAACUCUCUCUAAGGAACUCGGCAAAAUGACUCCGUAACUUCGGGAGAAGGAGUGCCUUAUUUCUAAGGUUGCAAUAACAAGAUCCAAGCAACUGUUUACCAAAAACACAGGUCUCCGCUAAGUCGUAAGACGAUGUAUGGGGGCUGACGCCUGCCCAGUGCCAGAAGGUUAAAGAAGUUGGUUAGCAUUAGCGAAGCUGAUAACUGAAGCCCUGGUGAACGGCGGCCGUAACGAUAACGGUCCUAAGGUAGCGAAAUUCCUUGUCGGGUAAGUUCCGACCCGCACGAAAGGCGUAAUGAUUUGGAUACUGUCUCGGAGAGGGGCUCGGUGAAAUGGACUUGUCUGUGAAGAUGCGGACUACCUGCACCUGGACAGAAAGACCCUAUGAAGCUUUACUGUAACUUGAGAUUGAAAUUGGACUUUAUUUGCGCAGUAUAGGUGGGAGGCGUUGAGAAUAAUCUUGCGGGAUUGUUGGAGCCAUCAGUGAGAUACCACUCUUGUAAUGUUAGAUUUCUAACUUUGUAUCAUUAUCUGGUCAAAGAACAGUUUCAGGCGGGCAGUUUGACUGGGGCGGUCGCCUCCCAAAGGGUAACGGAGGCGCACAAAGGUUUCCUCUGAACGGGUAGAAAUCGUAUCUAGAGUGUAAAGGCAUAAGGAAGCUUGACUGUGAGACCUACAAGUCGAGCAGGGACGAAAGUCGGUCUUAGUGAUCUGACGGUGCUGAGUGGAAAGGCCGUCACUCAACGGAUAAAAGUUACUCUAAGGAUAACAGGCUGAUCUCCCCCAAGAGUUCACAUCGACGGGGAGGUUUGGCACCUCGAUGUCGGCUCAUCGCAUCCUGGGGCGGUAGUCCGUCCCAAGGGUUGGGCUGUUCGCCCAUGAAAGCGGUACGCGAGCUGGGUUCAGAACGUCGUGAGACAGUUCGGUCCAUAUCCGGUGUAGGCGUUAGAAUAUUGAGAGGAGCCUUCUCUAGUACGAGAGGACCGAGAAGGACAUACCUCUGGUGUACCAGUUAUCGUGCCAACGGUAAACGCUGGGUAGCUAUGUGUGGAGUGGAUAACCGCUGAAAGCAUCUAAGUGGGAAGCCCACCUCAAGAUAAGUAC